ACGACGGACGCUUUUGAGAGCUUCACGUUUCAAUCAGUGUAGAUUGCUUGCAACAUAUGCACGGAGUUCAGCAUAAACUCCCAGUAGGGAGCCUUGCAUAGGACGUGGAAUCACUGACGAAAGUGUCGGAGAUGGCGCCGUGGGCUUUCGUUAUCAUCGCAUUGGUACCGGCUGUCGUCGUCGGUCAGGUAGAGCCGAGGCAAGGGGCACCGCAGCUCGCCGGCAGACUUGGGAAGGCUCGGUCACAGAACUCCAUUCCUCUCUUCUUGCAAGGCCGGCAGUCCAAUUCCGCGGAAUGCUAUGGCUUUUGCAAGGGAAUGAUAGGUGGCUGCGAAACCCAUCCUCGGUGUGUUUGUGUCCGUCCCGUCGGUGGUCAACAUCCGGUGUGCGCCCCGAGGUACGGUUAAUGAUAAUCAGCAACCGAGAAGCAGAAAUCAGCCUCGCAAUAA
Ornithodoros turicata is the source of this 449-nucleotide long non-coding RNA. RefSeq lists it as uncharacterized. The record is from RefSeq and is a predicted model, not a curated record. Lineage: Eukaryota; Metazoa; Arthropoda; Arachnida; Ixodida; Argasidae. The transcript has 3 exons.